GAACUCCCGGCUCAGAGAGUUCUCCACCGCUCCUCCCAGGCUCACGAGGCUCACGGGCUACCCAGCGCCAGCGGCCCAGGAGGCUGGACCACAGGAUCUCCGUGCCCACCAGGCCUCAGUCCCGACUUCUCCCUGCUGCCCGGCACGGGACCCUCCCCCAGGACAGCCACCUCCCAGUGCUGAAGAGCCGGCCCGCCUCAGAGCCGCCCGCCGUUCCUUUUUCCUAUGCAUAUACUUCUUUGAGGAUCUGGCCUAAAGAGACUACGAAGCUGCACCGUGUGGGGCCCACUUUUUAUACAAGCGGGUGGCGGUGGAUCCAGGCGCAGACGGGAGUGAGGCGUGGCGGAGACGCGUGCACGCUGGGUCUGUGCACUUUUGCUGCUGCUGCUUUUUUUUUUUUUUUUUUUUUUUGAGAUGGAGUCUCGUUCUGUCACCCAGGCUGGAGUGCAGUGGCGCGAUCUCGGCUCACUACAACCUCUGUCUCCCGGGUUUAAGCGACUUUCCUGUCUCAGCCUCCCAAGUAGCUGAAACGACAGGCGCCUGCCACCAUACCCGGCUAAUUUUUUUAUUUUUAGUAGAGAUAGGGUUUCACCUUGUUAGGCUGGUCUUGAACUCCUGACCUCAUGAUCCACCUCACUCGGCCUCCCAAAGUGCUGGGAUUACAGGCGUGAGCCACAGCGCCCGGCUGGCUGUUGCUUCUUAACACCUUUAUUACUUUUGUAAUCAUGGGUAUGAGUUGAUUUUCUGGUCAGAAAUUUCAGUAGAGCUAAUUUCAUUUAAAUGUGUGAGAUGUGGUAAAGUUUUGACAAUAAAUACAAAUUUUGA
This 825-nucleotide long non-coding RNA is filed under the name Homo sapiens (human). Its description in RNAcentral is "HSALNT0360811". The record is from RNAcentral. Lineage: Eukaryota; Metazoa; Chordata; Mammalia; Primates; Hominidae.